AGCUCCAAUAGCGUAUAUUAAAGUUGUUGUGGUUAAAAAGCUCGUAGUUGGAUCUCAACAGACUUGGAUCGGUUUACUUUGUGUAAUACUGAUCCAAAGCUGUGCUUUUGUCGGAGGUUUAGGGGUGCUCUUAACCGAGUGUCUCUGAGUGCCGACAGGUUUACUUUGAAAAAAUUAGGGUGCUUCAAGCGGGCUGUUAUGCCUGAAUAUUUGUGCAUGGAAUAAUAGAAUAGGAUGUUGAUCUUAUUUUGUUGGUUUUCGAGACUCGACAUAAUGAUAAAUAGGGACAGUCGGGGGCAUUUGUAUUCAAACGACAGAGGUGAAAUUCUUGGACCGUUUGAAGACAAACUACUGCGAAAGCAUUUGCCAAGAAUGUUU
Molecule: ribosomal RNA, 378 nt
Filed under: uncultured eukaryote
Lineage: Eukaryota
Description: SSU rRNA
Rfam family: Eukaryotic small subunit ribosomal RNA
Source: RNAcentral